This 915-nucleotide ribosomal RNA is filed under the name uncultured archaeon. Its description in RNAcentral is "bacterial SSU rRNA". It matches the Rfam family "Archaeal small subunit ribosomal RNA", at positions 1 to 922 of the family's 1478-position model. The record is from RNAcentral.
UUCCGGUUGAUCCUGCCGGAGGCCAUUGCUAUCGGUGUCCGAUUUAGCCAUGCGAGUUGUACGUAUAACGUAGCAAACUGCUCAGUAACACGUGGCCAAACUGCCCUAUGGACUAGGAUAACCUCGGGAAACUGAGGCUAAUCCUGGAUAGUACAUCCAGCCUGGAACUGGCGGAUGUAUCAAAUGCUCCGGCGCCAUAGGAUGUGGCUGCGGCCGAUUAGGUAGACGGUGGGGUAACGGCCCACCGUGCCGAUAAUCGGUACGGGUCAUGAGAGUGAGAGCCCGGAGACGGACUCUGAGACACGAGUCCGGGCCCUACGGGGCGCAGCAGGCGCGAAACCUUUACACUGCACGCCAGUGCGAUAGGGGGACACCGAGUGCGAGGGCAUAGAGCCCUCGCUUUUCUGUACCGUAAGGUGGUACAGGAACAAGGGCUGGGCAAGACCGGUGCCAGCCGCCGCGGUAACACCGGCAGCCCAAGUGAUGGCCGAUAUUAUUGGGCCUAAAGCGUCCGUAGCUGGCCGAGCAAGUUCGUCGGGAAAUCCACUCGCUUAACGAGUGGGCGUCCGGCGAAAACUGUUCGGCUUGGGACCGGAAGACCUGAAGGGUACGUCUGGGGUAGGAGUGAAAUCCCGUAAUCUUGGACGGACCACCGAUGGCGAAAGCACUUCAGGAGGACGGAUCCGACAGUGAGGGACGAAAGCUAGGGUCUCGAACCGGAUUAGAUACCCGGGUAGUCCUAGCCGUAAACGAUGCUCGCUAGGUGUGGCACAGGCUACGAGCCUGUGCUGUGCCGUAGGGAAGCCGUGAAGCGAGCCGCCUGGGAAGUACGUCUGCAAGGAUGAAACUUAAAGGAAUUGGCGGGGGAGCACUACAACCGGAGGAGCCUGCGGUUUAAUUGGAUUCAACGCCGGG